This 497-nucleotide ribosomal RNA is filed under the name uncultured bacterium. Its description in RNAcentral is "partial 16S ribosomal RNA". It matches the Rfam family "Bacterial small subunit ribosomal RNA", at positions 28 to 507 of the family's 1533-position model. The record is from RNAcentral.
GAUGAACGCUGGCGGCGUGCCUAAUACAUGCAAGUCGAGCGAACAGAUGAGGAGCUUGCUCCUCUGACGUUAGCGGCGGACGGGUGAGUAACACGUGGAUAACCUACCUAUAAGACUGGGAUAACUUCGGGAAACCGGAGCUAAUACCGGAUAAUAUAUUGAACCGCAUGGUUCAAUAGUGAAAGACGGUUUUGCUGUCACUUAUAGAUGGAUCCGCGCCGCAUUAGCUAGUUGGUAAGGUAACGGCUUACCAAGGCAACGAUGCGUAGCCGACCUGAGAGACUGAUCGGCCACUCUGGAACUGAGACACGGUCCAGACUCCUACGGGAGGCAGCAGUAGGGAAUCUUCCGCGAUGGGCGAAAGCCUGACGGAGCAACGCCGCGUGAGUGAUGAAGGUCUUCGGAUCGUAAAACUCUGUUAUUAGGGAAGAACAAAUGUGUAAGUAACUAUGCACGUCUGGACGGUACCUAAUCAGAAAGCCACGGCUAACUACGUG